AUUAAAGAGUUGCAAAACUCCCAAACCAUUGUGAACGUUACCUUUACCGUUGCUUCGGCGGGCGGCCCGGGUCCUGCCCGGCGCCCCUCGGCCCUCGCGGGCGCCCGCCGGAGGUAAACCAAACUCUUGAAUUGUAUGGCCUCUCUGAGUCUUCUGUACUGAAUAAGUCAAAACUUUCAACAACGGAUCUCUUGGUUCUGGCAUCGAUGAAGAACGCAGCGAAAUGCGAUAAGUAAUGUGAAUUGCAGAAUUCAGUGAAUCAUCGAAUCUUUGAACGCACAUUGCGCCCGCCAGUAUUCUGGCGGGCAUGCCUGUUCGAGCGUCAUUUCAACCAUCAAGCCCCGGGCUUGUGUUGGGGACCUGCGGCUGCCGCAGGCCCUGAAAACCAGUGGCGGGCUCGCUAGUCACUCCGAGCGUAGUAGUUACACCUCGCUCAGGGCGUGCUGCGGGUUCCGGCCGUUAAAAGCCUUAUUUUACCCAAGGUUGACCUCGGAUCAGGUAGGAAGACCCGCUGAACUUAAGCAUAUCAAUAAGCGGAUCCUCCGCUUAUUGAUAUGCCUUGUUACGACUUUUACUUCCCUCCCCCC
RNAcentral lists this ribosomal RNA (587 nucleotides) under Lycoperdon perlatum. Its description in RNAcentral is "eukaryotic LSU rRNA". The stretch from base 172 to 325 matches the Rfam family "5.8S ribosomal RNA". The record is from RNAcentral. Lineage: Eukaryota; Fungi; Basidiomycota; Agaricomycetes; Agaricales; Lycoperdaceae.